GACAGAGGCCUCGAGCGUUAGGCGGAAUCACUGGGCUUAAAGCGUGUGUAGGCGGGCCCGUAAGUGUCUUGUGAAAUCCCACGGCUCAACCGUGGAACUGCUGGGCAUACUGCGGGUCUUGGGCCAACUAGGGGCAGCCGGAACAAGCGGUGGAGCGGUGAAAUGCGUAGAUAUUGUGAGGAACGCCGGAGGCGAAAGCGACGCACUGGACCUCUUCUAACGCUGAGGCGCGAAAGCCAGGGGAGCAAACAGG
This 253-nucleotide ribosomal RNA is filed under the name uncultured bacterium. RNAcentral describes it as "partial 16S ribosomal RNA". It matches the Rfam family "Bacterial small subunit ribosomal RNA", at positions 524 to 776 of the family's 1533-position model. The record is from RNAcentral.